UGCGAGUACUUUGUGGGUGAUGAGUCAUUAUCAUAAAUCUCCAGCCUCCCCGAAGCAUCUAUUUUAUAGCCUGCACUGAGCAGAAAUAUCACCUAAUAAUGCCUUAUAUUUCUAAAGCCUUUUACGGUUCAAAAAGUGCUUUCCUGCGUAUUAUCUCAUACGAUCUUCUAGGGUGUUUACAAGUUGGUAUUGUGAAGGACUUGUCCCAGAUAUUGUAGCAGGCCUAUUCAUUUAUAAUUUCCAGGGUCCACCCCUCCUCUCCUUCCCUCAGUUCCCUUUUGUUCAGUAUUCAGCACUUUCCAGUUCUUUUUUUCCAUUUCACUGCAGAAAAAGAAAAAAAAGAAAAGAAAAGAAAAGAAAAACAGAGUGGCUGAACAAUGCCCCCUGCUUAAGUCCCCUAGAAGCAUAUUUUCUUUAGAGCAACAGAGGCUUUUGCAAUAUGGAAAAAGUGACAUUUGAUCUGAAGGAGUGUGGAGGGGAGCUCUGAGUGUGGGGGACUGACCUUUACUAACCACCUACCCAGAGCGGAGGCUGGAGAAGCGCGAGCUGAGCCUGCAGCAGUGAUGUCUGGUGCCCUCCACAGGCCAAAUUUUAUUGCCUUGACCUUUCUUCAAAUGAGAUGAUCUUCUGGGCCUCCUUACUCUGGACCCCUACUCCAGGCAGCACUGGAUUUGAAACCUGUUACCCGGGAAGAAGCUCCAUGGAGUCAGAGCUGCAGAAAUCUGGCCACAGAAUCCUACCCUAAGAGCACCGAGAGAAAGAGAAAUGCCCUCAGUGAAAUACUGUCACCUGGAACUGGACUGAGAACCAAUUACCUCUCAUCAGAAUCAAAUCCAUCCACAAAGAACUCUGAUGCUAGCUUCUCCUGGAGGAAUCGAUCCCAGCAUUCCUUCUUGGCUUGGGCCAAGGUUCGAAGCAUGUCCUUAGAAGUUACUUCCUGAUUUAAACCUUUGAUUCUUCUCAGUUUCUUCUCUAAAAACAGAUGAGGAGAAGUUAACAAGGAAAGUGAGUAUAAAAUGAAAUAAACCUAAAAUGCAACAUGACAACUCAAAAAUUCUCUCACUGAUGAGUAUAUUCACACUCCCUGCAAAAGAGCUCAUUUUUUCUGAGGACAUGUACAGGGAAAUGUACAUUUUUCUUUUUCCUUCACAAUGUCUUAACUCUGGAUUGUAUCAAAGAAACAUUUAACCCCAGAAAGGGAAAAAGCCAUAGGCUCUCAUAAAUAAAUCAGUGGCAUGUCUUCUUUGAAAUCACAGAAGCCAGCAGGUAUCUCUCUAAGGAAUUACUUGUUUUCCCUGGCUUGACAUGUGUCAACUCCUUGAAUAUAGUCUCUCUGAGGAGUAAGUGGUUUUUCUUUUUGUUACAAUGACAUGAAGUAGUUUCCAAACCUCAGGAGAAAGAAUUAGAGAAAAUAAUGAAAGAUCCAAUGGUUCAUUAGACACUAAAAUUGACUUGAUGGGAACUCAAUAAUCAGAGACCUUGAAGAUCUCUAUGUGUGAUUAAAUUCUUCAUAAAAGAAAAUCUCCCAACGUUUUUUACAGUUACUCAACUUGUGGCCUGGAUGUUGGGACCUUAUAAAAACAAACAUCUUCUAAUUCCAACGAAUGGUCUACAUGGCUUCCUGAUGAUAGAUGUUUACUUAUUCUUCUGUGCAUUUUAAGUGUAAUUGUUGAACAACUGAAGAACAGAAGGAACAGUAUCACCAUUUGCCUUCUGCUUUAAUUCAGUCUUGCCUUCAACUAUAAUAAAUGUGUCAAUGAUGGCCUUUUGGAGGGGGGAGUGGGGAAUAAUAUCAAGCCGAGACCCAAACAGAAACUUUAUGAUUUGCAAUCCUGUUUUCAUUUCUUCUUUUUAAAAUUUUAUUUAUUUAUUUUAAAUAAUCUCUACACCCAAUGUGGGGCUUGAAAUUAUAACCCCGAGAUCAAGAGUUACAUAUUCCUCCGACUAAGCUAGUCUGGAGCCCCCUGUUUUCACUUUUUUUUUUUUUUAAAUGUUUACUUAUUUAUUUUGAAAGAGAGA
This is a long non-coding RNA of Acinonyx jubatus (cheetah), 2019 nucleotides long. RefSeq lists it as uncharacterized. The transcript is spliced from 5 exons. The record is from RefSeq and is a predicted model, not a curated record. NCBI's taxonomy places the organism in Eukaryota, Metazoa, Chordata, Mammalia, Carnivora, Felidae.